Molecule: ribosomal RNA, 1213 nt
Filed under: metagenome
Description: SSU rRNA
Rfam family: Eukaryotic small subunit ribosomal RNA
Source: RNAcentral
GACCGUUUCACUACGGAAGGGCUGUAUUUAUUGGAUACCAAAACCAUCCUUCCCUCGGGAAGUUUUGUUUGAUGAUUCACAAUAACUGAUCGGAUCGCCACUGUGGUGGCGACAGGUCAUUCAACAUUCUGCCCUAUCAGCUUUCGAUGGUUGUGUAGUGGACAACCAUGGCCAUAACGGGUAACGGAGAAUCAGGGUUCGAUUCCGGAGAAGGAGCUUGAGAAUUGGCUACUACAUCUAAGGAAGGCAGCAGGCGCGCAAAUUACCCAAUCCCGAUUCGGGGAGGUAGUGACAAAAAAUAACAAUACCGGGCCUUUUUGGGCUUGGUAAUUGGAAUGAGGGAGAGUUAAACGGACCAUCGAGUAUCCAUUGGAGGGCAAGUCUGGUGCCAGCAGCUGCGGUAAUACCAGCUCCAAUAGCGUAUAUUAAAGUUGUUGCAGUUAAAAAGCUCGUAGUUGGACUUGUGUGCGCUGUCCGCGGGUGGCCUGCGCCCAAAAGGGCGUUUCGGUUCGGCCCCGGUGGCGCCUUGAAAUCUGCAGCUGGGGGGACGUUGGCCUUAACUGGUCGGCGACCGCACGCCGGCUGCUCGGUUACUGUGAGAAAAUUAGAGUGUUCAAGGCAGGCAUUGGGUGCAAUUGAAUACAUUAGCAUGGAAUAAUAAAAUAUGGCUCCUGCCGUAUUUUGUUGGUUUUGACUGGUGGGAGUAAUGAUUGAUAGGGACGGUUGGGGGUGCUAGUAUCGAGCGGCCAGAGGUGAAAUUCAUGGAUUCGCUCAAGACUAACUUAUGCGAAAGCAUUCGCCAAGGACGUCCUCUUUAAUCAAGAACGAAAGUUGGGGGAUCGAAGACGAUCAGAUACCGUCGUAGUCUCAACCAUAAACUAUGUCGACUUGGGAUCGGCGGUAGUUUUUUCAUUAAGACACUGUCGGGACCACGGGAGAAAUCAAAGUGUCUGGACUCUGGGGGAAGUAUGGUCGCAAGGCUGAAACUUGAAGGAAUUGACGGAAGGGCACCACCAGGAGUGGAGCCUGCGGCUUAAUUUGACUCAACACGGGGAAACUUACCAGGUCCAGAGAUGUAGAGGAUUGACAGAUUGAAGCUCUUUCUUGAUCACUUCGGUGGUGGUGCAUGGCCGUUCUUAGUUGGUGGAGUGAUUUGUCUGGUUAAUUCCGUUAACGAACGAGACCUCAGCCUGCUAGUGUAGUCGGCUGGAUU